AAUAAUAGAACAAAGACUAAGAACGCCACGUCCUGUGGCAACGUCUUUGUGACCCACUUCGUGUGGG
RNAcentral lists this small RNA (67 nucleotides) under Cytobacillus oceanisediminis. Its description in RNAcentral is "Bacillaceae-1 RNA". It matches the Rfam family "Bacillaceae-1 RNA". Lineage: Bacteria; Bacillati; Bacillota; Bacilli; Caryophanales; Bacillaceae. The record is from RNAcentral.